CUAUGGGAGGCUCCAGUGAGGAAUUUUGCGCAAUGGGGGAAACCCUGACGCAGCAACGCCGCGUGAGCGAAGAAGGCCCUCGGGUCGUAAAGCUCUGUCAAGUGGGAAAAAAAUUUUUUGAUCAAUAGUCAAAAGACUUGAUGGUACCACUGGAGGAAGCACCGGCUAACUCCGUGCCAGCAGCCGCGGUAAUACGGAGGGUGCGAGCGUUGUUCGGAGUUACUGGGCGUAAAGAGCGUGUAGGCGGUUUAGCAAGUCAGAUGUGAAAGCCCUGGGCUCAACCCGGGAAGUGCAUUUGAAACUGCUUCACUAGAGUAUGGGAGAGGAGAUUGGAAUUCCUGGUGUAGAGGUGAAAUUCGUAGAUAUCAGGAGGAACACCCGUGGCGAAGGCGAUUCUCUGGACCAAUACUGACGCUGAGACGCGAAAGCGUGGGGAGCAAACAGGAUUAGAUACCCCAGUAGUC
RNAcentral lists this ribosomal RNA (464 nucleotides) under uncultured bacterium. RNAcentral's name for it is "partial 16S ribosomal RNA". It matches the Rfam family "Bacterial small subunit ribosomal RNA", at positions 339 to 795 of the family's 1533-position model. The record is from RNAcentral.